This 446-nucleotide ribosomal RNA is filed under the name uncultured bacterium. RNAcentral describes it as "bacterial SSU rRNA". It matches the Rfam family "Bacterial small subunit ribosomal RNA", at positions 329 to 792 of the family's 1533-position model. The record is from RNAcentral.
GUCCAGACUCCUACGGGAGGCAGCAGUGGGGAAUAUUGCACAAUGGGGGAAACCCUGAUGCAGCAACGCCGCGUGAAGGAAGACGGUUUUCGGAUUGUAAACUUCUGUUCUUAGUGAAGAAGAAUGACGGUAGCUAAGGAGCAAGCCACGGCUAACUACGUGCCAGCAGCCGCGGUAAUACGUAGGAUGCGAGCGUUAUCCGGAUUUAUUGGGUUUAAAGGGUGCGCAGGCGGCACGGCAGGCCGGCGGUGAAAUCGCGGGGCUCAACCCCGCCCAGCCGUCGGAACUGCCGGGCUAGAGUGGGCGAGAAGUGCGCGGAAUGCGUGGUGUAGCGGUGAAAUGCAUAGAUAUCACGCAGAACUCCGAUUGCGAAGGCAGCGCACCGGCGCCCUACUGACGCUCAGGCACGAAAGCGUGGGUAUCGAACAGGAUUAGAUACCCCUGUA